GAGGAAAGUCCGGGCUCCAUAGGGCAAGGUGCCAGGUAACGCCUGGGGGGUGUCACAGCCCACGACCAGUGCAACAGAGAGCAAACCGCCGAUGGCCCGCGCAAGCGGGAUCAGGUAAGGGUGAAAGGGUGCGGUAAGAGCGCACCGCGCGGCUGGUAACAGUCCGCGGCACGGUAAACUCCACCCGGAGCAAGGCCAAAUAGGGGUUCAUAAGGUACGGCCCGUACUGAACCCGGGUAGGCUGCUUGAGCCAGUGAGCGAUUGCUGGCCUAGAUGAAUGACUGUCCACGACAGAACCC
RNAcentral lists this RNase P RNA (299 nucleotides) under Klebsiella pneumoniae UHKPC28. RNAcentral's name for it is "Bacterial RNase P class A". It matches the Rfam family "Bacterial RNase P class A", at positions 43 to 345 of the family's 367-position model. From Rfam's summary of the family: Ribonuclease P (RNase P) is a ubiquitous endoribonuclease, found in archaea, bacteria and eukarya as well as chloroplasts and mitochondria. Its best characterised activity is the generation of mature 5'-ends of tRNAs by cleaving the 5'-leader elements of precursor-tRNAs. Cellular RNase Ps are ribonucleoproteins. The record is from RNAcentral. RNAcentral also lists the same sequence under 5 other names. Lineage: Bacteria; Pseudomonadati; Pseudomonadota; Gammaproteobacteria; Enterobacterales; Enterobacteriaceae.